This 496-nucleotide ribosomal RNA is filed under the name uncultured bacterium. RNAcentral describes it as "partial 16S ribosomal RNA". It matches the Rfam family "Bacterial small subunit ribosomal RNA", at positions 28 to 507 of the family's 1533-position model. The record is from RNAcentral.
GAUGAACGCUGGCGGCGUGCCUAAUACAUGCAAGUCGAGCGAACAGACGAGGAGCUUGCUCCUUUGACGUUAGCGGCGGACGGGUGAGUAACACGUAGGUAACCUACCUAUAAGACUGGGAUAACUUCGGGAAACCGGAGCUAUACCGGAUAAUAUUUCGAACCGCAUGGUUCGAUAGUGAAAGAUGGCUUUGCUAUCACUUAUAGAUGGACCUGCGCCGUAUUAGCUAGUUGGUAAGGUAACGGCUUACCAAGGCAACGAUACGUAGCCGACCUGAGAGGGUGAUCGGCCACACUGGAACUGAGACACGGUCCAGACUCCUACGGGAGGCAGCAGUAGGGAAUCUUCCGCAAUGGGCGAAAGCCUGACGGAGCAACGCCGCGUGAGUGAUGAAGGUCUUCGGAUCGUAAAACUCUGUUAUUAGGGAAGAACAAAAGUGUAAGUAACUGUGCACGUCUUGACGGUACCUAAUCAGAAAGCCACGGCUAACUACGUG